AGUCGACGAACUUCUUUAUCACCGAGUGCUUGCACUCACCGAUAAAGAGUUGUAGUGGCGAACGGGUGAGUAACACGUGGGCAACCUGCCCAAAAGAGGGGGAUAACACUUGGAAACAGGUGCUAAUACCGCAUAACCAUAGUUACCGCAUGGUAACUAUGUAAAAGGUGGCUAUGCUACCGCUUUUGGAUGGGCCCGCGGCGCAUUAGCUAGUUGGUGGGGUAAAGGCUUACCAAGGCAAUGAUGCGUAGCCGAACUGAGAGGUUGAUCGGCCACAUUGGGACUGAGACACGGCCCAAACUCCUACGGGAGGCAGCAGUAGGGAAUCUUCCACAAUGGGCGAAAGCCUGAUGGAGCAACGCCGCGUGGGUGAAGAAGGUCUUCGGAUCGUAAAACCCUGUUGUUAGAGAAGAAAGUGCGUGAGAGUAACUGUUCACGUUUCGACGGUAUCUAACCAGAAAGCCACGGCUAACUACGUGCCAGCAGCCGCGGUAAUACGUAGGUGGCAAGCGUUAUCCGGAUUUAUUGGGCGUAAAGGGAACGCAGGCGGUCUUUUAAGUCUGAUGUGAAAGCCUUCGGCUUAACCGGAGUAGUGCAUUGGAAACUGGGAGACUUGAGUGCAGAAGAGGAGAGUGGAACUCCAUGUGUAGCGGUGAAAUGCGCAGAUAUAUGGAAGAACACCAGUGGCGAAAGCGGCUCUCUGGUCUGUAACUGACGCUGAGGUUCGAAAGCGUGGGUAGCAAACAGGAUUAGAUACCCUGGUAGUCCACGCCGUAAACGAUGAAUGCUAAGUGUUGGAGGGUUUUCCGCCCUUCAGUGCUG
Molecule: ribosomal RNA, 822 nt
Filed under: uncultured bacterium
Lineage: Bacteria
Description: bacterial SSU rRNA
Rfam family: Bacterial small subunit ribosomal RNA
Source: RNAcentral